AUUGAACGCUAGCGGCAUGCUUUACACAUGCAAGUCGAACGGUAACAGGUUAAGCUGACGAGUGGCGAACGGGUGAGUAAUGCAUCGGAACGUGCCCGGUCGUGGGGGAUAACGCAGCGAAAGCUGCGCUAAUACCGCAUACGAUCUGAGGAUGAAAGCGGGGGACCGUAAGGCCUCGCGCGAUCGGAGCGGCGGGUGUCAGAUUAGGUAGUUGGGGGGGUAAAGGCUCACCAAGCCAACGAUCUGUAGCUGGUCUGAGAGGACCACCAGCCACACUGGGACUGAGACACGGCCCAGACUCCUACGGGAGGCAGCAGUGGGGAAUUUUGGACAAUGGGCGAAAGCCUGAUCCAGCAAUGCCGCGUGCAGGAAGAAGGCCUUCGGGUUGUAAACUGCUUUUGUACGGAGCGAAAAGGUCUCCUCUAAUACAGGGGGCUCAUGACGGUACCGUAAGAAUAAGCACCGGCUAACUACGUGCCAGCCGCCGCGGUAA
This 493-nucleotide ribosomal RNA is filed under the name uncultured bacterium. RNAcentral's name for it is "partial 16S ribosomal RNA". It matches the Rfam family "Bacterial small subunit ribosomal RNA", at positions 29 to 523 of the family's 1533-position model. The record is from RNAcentral.